GCAAACUUGGUCAUUUAGAGGAAGUAAAAGUCGUAACAAGGUUUCCGUAGGUGAACCUGCGGAAGGAUCAUUAACGAAGCCAUUUUGGCAUCAUUUCUUUCUAUUCUGUGAAUUUAUCUUUGCUUUGGGUGGUUUGUUUAGCAGUUUUGUUUUACAACCGCCCAAAUAACAAAACUCUUAAAUUUUUUGAAAUUGUCUGACUGAUUAAAAAAAAUUAAUCAAAACUUUCAACAACGGAUCUCUUGGUUCUCGCAUCGAUGAAGAACGCAGC
RNAcentral lists this unclassified non-coding RNA (271 nucleotides) under uncultured fungus. Its description in RNAcentral is "partial contains small subunit ribosomal RNA, internal transcribed spacer 1, and 5.8S ribosomal RNA". The stretch from base 1 to 73 matches the Rfam family "Eukaryotic small subunit ribosomal RNA", at positions 1759 to 1831 of the family's 1831-position model. Lineage: Eukaryota; Fungi. The record is from RNAcentral.